Molecule: long non-coding RNA, 283 nt
Filed under: Elaeis guineensis (African oil palm)
Lineage: Eukaryota; Viridiplantae; Streptophyta; Magnoliopsida; Arecales; Arecaceae
Description: long non-coding RNA (EGUI_LNC045367)
Source: RNAcentral
GGGUUAUAGCCAAGUCCAGCCUUAUCAUAUACGGCCUUUUGAUUUUUAAGAAUCAUAUUAAGUUUAUUUGAACUCAAGGUGAAUUUUUCAACUAAUGGUUUUAACUUGGCAAUUUCAUUCUUUAAACUUUGAUUUUCUUGAAGCAGGAUGGAUUUUUUAAUUGAAAUGCUUUCAUUUUAUUUCAAUAAAGAUUGAUUUUUCGAUUUUAGAUCUUUGUUCUUCAUCCCUAGUUUCUUUAAUUCAUCAACUAAAUCAUAAAAAGCUUCAUGUAGUUCUUCAAAUG